AUAACCGGCGAUUUCCGAAUGGGGAAACCCAGUGUGUUUCGACACACUAUCAUUAACUGAAUCCAUAGGUUAAUGAGGCGAACCGGGGGAACUGAAACAUCUAAGUACCCCGAGGAAAAGAAAUCAACCGAGAUUCCCCCAGUAGCGGCGAGCGAACGGGGAGGAGCCCAGAGCCUGAAUCAGUGUGUGUGUUAGUGGAAGCGUCUGGAAAGGCGCGCGAUACAGGGUGACAGCCCCGUACACAAAAAUGCACAUAUUGUGAGCUCGAUGAGUAGGGCGGGACACGUGGUAUCCUGUCUGAAUAUGGGGGGACCAUCCUCCAAGGCUAAAUACUCCUGACUGACCGAUAGUGAACCAGUACCGUGAGGGAAAGGCGAAAAGAACCCCGGCGAGGGGAGUGAAAAAGAACCUGAAACCGUGUACGUACAAGCAGUGGGAGCCUCUUAAUGGGGUGACUGCGUACCUUUUGUAUAAUGGGUCAGCGACUUAUAUUCUGUAGCAAGGUUAACCGAAUAGGGGAGCCGAAGGGAAACCGAGUCUUAACUGGGCGUUAAGUUGCAGGGUAUAGACCCGAAACCCGGUGAUCUAGCCAUGGGCAGGUUGAAGGUUGGGUAACACUAACUGGAGGACCGAACCGACUAAUGUUGAAAAAUUAGCGGAUGACUUGUGGCUGGGGGUGAAAGGCCAAUCAAACCGGGAGAUAGCUGGUUCUCCCCGAAAGCUAUUUAGGUAGCGCCUCGUGAAUUCAUCUCCGGGGGUAGAGCACUGUUUCGGCAAGGGGGUCAUCCCGACUUACCAACCCGAUGCAAACUGCGAAUACCGGAGAAUGUUAUCACGGGAGACACACGGCGGGUGCUAACGUCCGUCGUGAAGAGGGAAACAACCCAGACCGCCAGCUAAGGUCCCAAAGUCAUGGUUAAGUGGGAAACGAUGUGGGAAGGCCCAGACAGCCAGGAUGUUGGCUUAGAAGCAGCCAUCAUUUAAAGAAAGCGUAAUAGCUCACUGGUCGAGUCGGCCUGCGCGGAAGAUGUAACGGGGCUAAACCAUGCACCGAAGCUGCGGCAGCGACACUAUGUGUUGUUGGGUAGGGGAGCGUUCUGUAAGCCUGUGAAGGUGUACUGUGAGGGUUGCUGGAGGUAUCAGAAGUGCGAAUGCUGACAUAAGUAACGAUAAAGCGGGUGAAAAGCCCGCUCGCCGGAAGACCAAGGGUUCCUGUCCAACGUUAAUCGGGGCAGGGUGAGUCGACCCCUAAGGCGAGGCCGAAAGGCGUAGUCGAUGGGAAACAGGUUAAUAUUCCUGUACUUGGUGUUACUGCGAAGGGGGGACGGAGAAGGCUAUGUUGGCCGGGCGACGGUUGUCCCGGUUUAAGCGUGUAGGCUGGUUUUCCAGGCAAAUCCGGAAAAUCAAGGCUGAGGCGUGAUGACGAGGCACUACGGUGCUGAAGCGACAAAUGCCCUGCUUCCAGGAAAAGCCUCUAAGCAUCAGGUAACAUCAAAUCGUACCCCAAACCGACACAGGUGGUCAGGUAGAGAAUACCAAGGCGCUUGAGAGAACUCGGGUGAAGGAACUAGGCAAAAUGGUGCCGUAACUUCGGGAGAAGGCACGCUGAUAUGUAGGUGAAGCGACUUGCUCGUGGAGCUGAAAUCAGUCGAAGAUACCAGCUGGCUGCAACUGUUUAUUAAAAACACAGCACUGUGCAAACACGAAAGUGGACGUAUACGGUGUGACGCCUGCCCGGUGCCGGAAGGUUAAUUGAUGGGGUUAGCGGUAACGCGAAGCUCUUGAUCGAAGCCCCGGUAAACGGCGGCCGUAACUAUAACGGUCCUAAGGUAGCGAAAUUCCUUGUCGGGUAAGUUCCGACCUGCACGAAUGGCGUAAUGAUGGCCAGGCUGUCUCCACCCGAGACUCAGUGAAAUUGAACUCGCUGUGAAGAUGCAGUGUACCCGCGGCAAGACGGAAAGACCCCGUGAACCUUUACUAUAGCUUGACACUGAACAUUGAGCCUUGAUGUGUAGGAUAGGUGGGAGGCUUUGAAGUGUGGACGCCAGUCUGCAUGGAGCCGACCUUGAAAUACCACCCUUUAAUGUUUGAUGUUCUAACGUGGGCCCCUUACCGGGGUUGCGGACAGUGUCUGGUGGGUAGUUUGACUGGGGCGGUCUCCUCCUAAAGAGUAACGGAGGAGCACGAAGGUUGGCUAAUCCUGGUCGGACAUCAGGAGGUUAGUGCAAUGGCAUAAGCCAGCUUGACUGCGAGCGUGACGGCGCGAGCAGGUGCGAAAGCAGGUCAUAGUGAUCCGGUGGUUCUGAAUGGAAGGGCCAUCGCUCAACGGAUAAAAGGUACUCCGGGGAUAACAGGCUGAUACCGCCCAAGAGUUCAUAUCGACGGCGGUGUUUGGCACCUCGAUGUCGGCUCAUCACAUCCUGGGGCUGAAGUAGGUCCCAAGGGUAUGGCUGUUCGCCAUUUAAAGUGGUACGCGAGCUGGGUUUAGAACGUCGUGAGACAGUUCGGUCCCUAUCUGCCGUGGGCGCUGGAGAACUGAGGGGGGCUGCUCCUAGUACGAGAGGACCGGAGUGGACGCAUCACUGGUGUUCGGGUUGUCAUGCCAAUGGCACUGCCCGGUAGCUAAAUGCGGAAGAGAUAAGUGCUGAAAGCAUCUAAGCACGAAACUUGCCCCGAGAUGAGUUCUCCCUGACUCCUUGAGAGUCCUGAAGGAACGUUGAAGACGACGACGUUGAUAGGCCGGGUGUGUAAGCGCAGCGAUGCGUUGAGCUAACCGGUACUAAUGAACCGUGAGGCUUAACCUU
This 2804-nucleotide ribosomal RNA is filed under the name Escherichia coli HVH 141 (4-5995973). Its description in RNAcentral is "bacterial LSU rRNA". It matches the Rfam family "Bacterial large subunit ribosomal RNA". Lineage: Bacteria; Pseudomonadati; Pseudomonadota; Gammaproteobacteria; Enterobacterales; Enterobacteriaceae. The record is from RNAcentral.